RNAcentral lists this ribosomal RNA (481 nucleotides) under uncultured bacterium. Its description in RNAcentral is "partial 16S ribosomal RNA". It matches the Rfam family "Bacterial small subunit ribosomal RNA", at positions 28 to 523 of the family's 1533-position model. The record is from RNAcentral.
GACGAACGCUGGCGGCGUGCUUAACACAUGCAAGUCGAACGGUGAAAGGGAGCUUGCUCCCUGGAUCAGUGGCGAACGGGUGAGUAACACGUGGGCAACCUGCCCCAGACUUCGGGAUAACGCUUCGAAAGAGGUGCUAAUACCGGAUACGAACUCCUUGGGCAUCCUUGGAGUUGGAAAGUUUUUCGGUCUGGGAUGGGCCCGCGGCCUCUCAGCUUGUUGGUGAGGUAACGGCUCACCAAGGCGACGACGGGUAGCCGGCCUGAGAGGGCGACCGGCCACACUGGGACUGGGACACGGCCCAGACGCCUACGGGAGGCAGCAGUGGGGAAUAUUGCGCAAUGGGCGAAAGCCUGACGCAGCAACGCCGCGUGAGGGAUGACGGCCUUCGGGUUGUAAACCUCUUUCAGCAGGGAAGAAGCGAAAGUGACGGUACCUGCAGAAGAAGCACCGGCUAACUACGUGCCAGCCGCCGCCGUAA